UACGUAGGGUGCGAGCGUUAAUCGGAAUUACUGGGCGUAAAGCGUGCGCAGGCGGUGAUGUAAGACAGAGGGGAAAUCCCCGGGCUCAACCUGGGAACUGUCUUUGUGAAUGCAUGACUAGAGUACGGCAGAGGGGGAUGGAAUUCCGCGUGUAGCAGUGAAAUGCGUAGAUAUGCGGAGGAACACCGUUGGCGAAGGCAAUCCCCUGGGCCUGUACUGACGCUCAUGCACGAAAGCGUGGGGAGCAAACAGG
This 253-nucleotide ribosomal RNA is filed under the name uncultured bacterium. RNAcentral describes it as "partial 16S ribosomal RNA". It matches the Rfam family "Bacterial small subunit ribosomal RNA", at positions 524 to 776 of the family's 1533-position model. The record is from RNAcentral.